AUUUUCAUCCACUGAGUUGCCGAUCGUUGCCUUCCAGCGCCGUCGAAUUUCUCAAGAUGUUUACGGCCCUGAAAAAGAUCCACAAGGAUAAGGAUGCUGAAGCCUCGGAGUUCGAAGAGACUGUCGCGCAGGCACUCUUUGAUUUGGAAAACACCAAUUCGGAGCUGAAAAGUGACCUUAAGGAUCUGUACAUCAAUUCAGCGCUUCAAGUUGAUGUUUCUGGAAACAGGAAGGCCGUUGUUAUCUAUGUUCCCUUUAGAUUGAGGAAGGCUUUCCGCAAGAUUCAGUUGAGGCUUGUUCGUGAGCUAGAAAAGAAGUUCAGCGGAAAGGAUGUGAUUCUGGUCGCUAACCGAAGAAUCUUGAGACCUCCAAAGAAAGGGUCAGCAGUUCAAAGGCCUCGCACCCGUACUCUUACUUCUGUGCAUGAAGCUAUGCUAGAAGAUAUUGUUUUGCCUG
Molecule: unclassified non-coding RNA, 456 nt
Filed under: Hevea brasiliensis (rubber tree)
Lineage: Eukaryota; Viridiplantae; Streptophyta; Magnoliopsida; Malpighiales; Euphorbiaceae
Source: RNAcentral